RNAcentral lists this ribosomal RNA (1839 nucleotides) under Roseomonas genomospecies 6. Its description in RNAcentral is "partial 23S ribosomal RNA". It matches the Rfam family "Bacterial large subunit ribosomal RNA", at positions 174 to 2175 of the family's 2925-position model. Lineage: Bacteria; Pseudomonadati; Pseudomonadota; Alphaproteobacteria; Acetobacterales; Roseomonadaceae. The record is from RNAcentral.
GGGAGGCGAACCCGGCGAACUGAAACAUCUAAGUAGCCGGAGGAAAGGACAUCAACCGAGACUCCGCUAGUAGUGGCGAGCGAACGCGGACCAGGCCAGUCAUUCAGUCUACAUAACCGGAACCGUCUGGAAAGGCGGGCCAGAGCGGGUGAUAGCCCCGUACGGGUAAACCGGACUGAAUGCUCGAGUAGGGCGGGGCACGUGAAACCCUGUCCGAACAUGGGGGGACCACCCUCCAAGCCUAAGUACUCCUCAGUGACCGAUAGUGCACCAGUACCGUGAGGGAAAGGUGAAAAGCACCCCGACGAGGGGAGUGAAACAGUUCCUGAAACCGGAUGCCUACAAGCAGUCGGAGCUUCCUUGCGAAGUGACGGCGUACCUUUUGUAUAAUGGGUCAGCGACUUACAGUAAGCAGCGAGCUUAAGGCGGUAGCCGGAGGCGCAGCGAAAGCGAGUCUGAACAGGGCGCGUGAGUUGCUUGCUGUAGACCCGAAACCCGGUGAUCUAGCCAUGGACAGGUUGAAGGUGCGGUAACACGCACUGGAGGACCGAACCCACGCCUGUUGAAAAAGUCGGGGAUGAUCUGUGGCUAGGGGUGAAAGGCCAAUCAAACCGGGAAAUAGCUGGUUCUCCGCGAAAGCUAUUUAGGUAGCGCGUCGGGCGAUUGCCCACGGGGGUAGAGCACUGGAUGGGCUAGGGGGCCUCGCGGCUUACCAAACCUAACCAAACUCCGAAUACCGUGGAGCACAGCCCGGCAGACAGACGGUGGGUGCUAAGGUCCAUCGUCGAGAGGGAAACAGCCCAGACCGCCAGCUAAGGUCCCCAAAUCACGGCUAAGUGGGAAAGGAUGUGGGAAGGCCAUGACAACCAGGAGGUUGGCUUAGAAGCAGCCAUCCUUUAAAGAAAGCGUAAUAGCUCACUGGUCUAGUUAAGCCGGCCUGCGCCGAAAAUGUAUCGGGGCUCAAGCCGUGUACCGAAGCUGCGGAUGCGCCGAAAGGCGCGUGGUAGCGGAGCGUUCCGUAAGCCUGCGAAGGGUGUCCGUGAGGCCGCCUGGAGGUAUCGGAAGUGAGAAUGCUGACAUGAGUAGCGACAAACAGUGUGAGAAACACUGUCGCCGAAAGUCCAAGGGUUCCUGCGCAAGGUUAAUCCACGCAGGGUGAGCCGGCCCCUAAGGCGAGGCCGAAAGGCGUAGUCGAUGGGAACCACGUUAAUAUUCGUGGGCCAGCGGGUGUGUGACGAAUGGGAAAGCGUGUCGGGCCUUAUCGGAUUGGCCCGGCUGGGGACCCGUUCCAGGAAACAGCCCCCGCAUCAGACCGUACCCCAAACCGACACAGGUGGACUGGUAGAGCAUACCCAGGCGCUUGAGAGAAUGGUGUUGAAGGAACUCGGCAAAUUGCCCUCGUAACUUCGGAAGAAGAGGGCCCCGUUCCAGGGCAACCUGGGGCGGGGGGCACAGACCAGGGGGUGGCGACUGUUUACUAAAAACACAGGGCUCUGCGAAGCCGUCCAAGGCGACGUAUAGGGUCUGACGCCUGCCCGGUGCCGGAAGGUUAAGAGGAGGGGUUCACGCUCCGAAUUGAAGCCCCGGUAAACGGCGGCCGUAACUAUAACGGUCCUAAGGUAGCGAAAUUCCUUGUCGGGUAAGUUCCGACCUGCACGAAUGGCGUAACGACUUCCCCGCUGUCUCCAACACCAACUCAGCGAAAUUGAACUCUCCGUGAAGAUGCGGAGUACCCGCGGUCAGACGGAAAGACCCCGUGCACCUUUACUACAGCUUUGCAGUGGUGCUAGGGAUCUCAUGUGUAGGAUAGGUGGGAGGCUAGGAAGCCCGGGCGCCAGC